GUACUGCUUGGCAUAUGCCCUUGUCACACUGUGUAUGGAUACUUUGACUAUUGGGGGAAAGGAACAAUGGUCACAGUAUCAUCAGCAGCCACAGCCACCCCUACUCUAUUCCCUCUUAUGAACUGUGGAACCGCUUCUAACAAUGUCUACAGCAUCGGUUGUCUCGCUACCGGCUUUUCACCUUCCUCACUCACAUUCAAGUGGAAAGAUGCCAGCGGGAGUCCGCUGACGGACUUCGUCCAGUACCCGGCAGUCCAGAGUGGGGGAGCCUACACAGGAGUCAGUCAGCUCCGUGUGGCUGAGAACGUCUGGGGAAACUCAAAGUCUUUCAUUUGUUCUGUGGAACAUCUUGGAAAGGAAACGACAGCAGUCAUCAAUAGACCAGUCCUAAAGUCUCCAACAGUGUCUUUGCUGUCGGGGCCCAUUGGCACCACCCAGUACCUGAUGUGUAUGAUUGAAGAUUUCACCCCCAAUAAAGUCACUGUCACCUGGAAGAAGAAUGACAUGGAGGUGGAGGGCCAAAUCACUACUGUAGGCAAACAGCUGUCAGGCCUCUACUCAGGCAGCAGUCUGCUGAAGGUCAACAACACUGACUGGAACAACAAGGUCAAGUACAGCUGUGUGGUGCAGCACCAGGGACCACCCACCAUCAAGACAAUCUCCAAAACAGAACCACUGACGGUGACUCUGAACCCACCAAGUGUGAAAAAGGUGUUCUUGGACAACCAAGCAGUGCUGGACUGUGUCAUCAGUGGUACAGACCAGGACACAGUGUCUGGUACCACUAUCACCUGGCAGUUCAAUGGACAGGACAAGAUGGAUGGCAUCGAUCUGAAAGAUAUUGAAUCAAAGGGCAACCUGAACAGCAGGGUCAGUACUCUGACCAUAGACCAGAAGGACUGGACCAAAGUGAAGACAGUCCAGUGUUCUGCCAUGAAGAGUGGUGAAGACACACCGGUCAUUCAGGACAUCAGCUUCACCAAAGGAAGUGAAGCCCCUUCAGUGUCCGUCCACCUUCUCCCGGAGGAAGACACCAGGAAGGAGAAGACUGUGACUCUGGUGUGCCUGGUGGUCAUCCCGUCUCUCUAUGACGUCUACAUCAUGUGGCAGGUGAACAGCAGCCAGUACCAGGAGGGGGUCACCAGCCCUCCUCAGAAAACCCAGAAAGGCGACUACUUCGUCACCAGCGUCUUCACCACCACUAAGAAGGAGUGGGAGGGAAACUCGGUUUUCACAUGCGCCGUCAAAGACCUCAGCUCGGACAACAAUACCACACCUCAGGGGAGGAAUGUGUCAAAGUCCUUGGAGAACAUCCUACUGACUGAGCCUGAGGCGGGCUUCGCUCUGAGCUGCACGGACAACGUUGAGGAUGAGUUCGGCAGCCUGUGGUCCACCACCUCCUCCUUUAUCAUCCUCUUCCUUCUCUCCCUCACCUACAGCACAGUACUCAGCCUCGUCAAGAUGAAGCAGUGAAGAACACAUGAUGGACUGUAGAGAUAGAUGUGUCUAGAUUAGAAAGAUAGUGGUCUGAGAUGGUUUUGGCGUACAGUAGUGUUCUUUAGUAAUAAUGU
Salvelinus fontinalis (brook trout) is the source of this 1571-nucleotide non-coding RNA. Lineage: Eukaryota; Metazoa; Chordata; Actinopteri; Salmoniformes; Salmonidae. The record is from the annotation of a RefSeq genome assembly.